Molecule: ribosomal RNA, 275 nt
Filed under: Staphylococcus aureus
Lineage: Bacteria; Bacillati; Bacillota; Bacilli; Caryophanales; Staphylococcaceae
Description: partial 16S ribosomal RNA
Rfam family: Bacterial small subunit ribosomal RNA
Source: RNAcentral
UUUAUGGAGAGUUUGAUCCUGGCUCAGGAUGAACGCUGGCGGCGUGCCUAAUACAUGCAAGUCGAGCGAACGGACGAGAAGCUUGCUUCUCUGAUGUUAGCGGCGGACGGGUGAGUAACACGUGGAUAACCUACCUAUAAGACUGGGAUAACUUCGGGAAACCGGAGCUAAUACCGGAUAAUAUUUUGAACCGCAUGGUUCAAAAGUGAAAGACGGUCUUGCUGUCACUUAUAGAUGGAUCCGCGCUGCAUUAGCUAGUUGGUAAGGUAACGGCU